Paramarasmius palmivorus is the source of this 83-nucleotide non-coding RNA. The record is from the annotation of a GenBank genome assembly. NCBI's taxonomy places the organism in Eukaryota, Fungi, Basidiomycota, Agaricomycetes, Agaricales, Marasmiaceae.
GCCGGCUUAGCACAGUGGUAGUGCGUCGCACUUGUAAAGCUUACGUAAUGCGAAGGUCGGUUGUUCGAUCCAGCCAGUCGGCA